GCCGCAACCUGUCCCGGAGGUGUCCUGUCGCCUGUCGCCGUCGCCGCCGCCACCACCGCUGCCACUGCCGCCCUGCCGGGGCCAUGUUCGCUCUGGGCUUGCCCUUCUUGGCGCUCUUGGUGGCCUCGGUCGAGAGCCAUCUGGGGGUUCUGGGGCCCAAGAACGUCUCGCAGAAAGACGCCGAGUUUGAGCGCACCUACGUGGACGAGGUUGCAGUGAGCCGAGAUCCCGCCAUUGCACGCCAGCCUGGGCGACAGAGUGAGACUCCGUCUCCAAAAAAAUAAAAGGGGGUCCCUGAUCUCAGGGUGCUCACAGACUAAGACACAGACCAAGUUGUCCCUGUCUUCAGGAGAUGUCAGACUCUGGGUGACGGCCAGUGGGG
This 382-nucleotide small RNA is filed under the name Pongo abelii (Sumatran orangutan). RNAcentral's name for it is "processed transcript". The record is from RNAcentral. Lineage: Eukaryota; Metazoa; Chordata; Mammalia; Primates; Hominidae.